UUUCUGUCAUUUAAAAAAGGAGAGACUAUAUAUGUCUACUAUAAACUCUCAGGCCAAAGGACAAAUAUAUGUGCAGGGAGUGACCAACUCGUAAUCAAUCACAUAUACACUGAAAAAGAAUUGGAGAUUCCUGCUGAGGAAACCGACAUUGUUUGCUUUGACACUGGACACGAUAAGUUUGACAGUUAUGCCAUUGAUUCACUGUUAGGUUCCUCUUUAUUGUUAACAGACAAGGAGGAAUCUGUGCAAGUAACCACAGAGACUUUGUACCUAAACAAAAGUGCUGAGAGCACCACGGUGGAAGUGGAUGAGCCUCCACCUGAAGUGACACUGUUAGAAAAUGAUGAGAUUGAUAGGGAUGUACCUGAGGACAUUGAUAAGGUUGUAGAGGUUCCAGAUAAUGAUGAUCUGAGACAUUUUGAGGCUUUAGAGUCCUCUCUGCCUCAGCCUGAAACUCUUGACACAAAGGGAGUGGAAUCUAACACUGUACUUGAGACCACAGCUGAGAGGAUCAAAGAUUACCUUCAGAAAGAUCAGCAGAGGACAGAGGACUCUGUGCCGUACAGUGUUGUUGAACCAGAGGAAGGUGAGAUCAAAGAAACCCCCUCAGAACCUGAAUCC
Molecule: long non-coding RNA, 621 nt
Organism: Salvelinus namaycush (lake trout)
Lineage: Eukaryota; Metazoa; Chordata; Actinopteri; Salmoniformes; Salmonidae
Exons: 3
Source: RefSeq, a predicted model, not a curated record